This 253-nucleotide ribosomal RNA is filed under the name uncultured bacterium. RNAcentral describes it as "partial 16S ribosomal RNA". It matches the Rfam family "Bacterial small subunit ribosomal RNA", at positions 524 to 776 of the family's 1533-position model. The record is from RNAcentral.
UACGAAGGGUGCAAGCGUUACUCGGAAUUACUGGGCGUAAAGCGUGCGUAGGUGGUUUGUUAAGUCUGAUGUGAAAGCCCCGGGCUCAACCUGGGAAUGGCAUUGGAUACUGGCAGUCUAGAGUGCGGUGGAGGGUAGUGGAAUUCCCGGUGUAGCAGUGAAAUGCGUAGAUAUCGGGAGGAACAUCCGUGGCGAAGGCGACUACCUGGACCAGCACUGACACUGAGGCACGAAAGCGUGGGGAGCAAACAGG